GUAAAGCUGUCGCUAGUGGGGAUCGGCCCCCGCGGUGCAUUAGCUAGUUGGUAAGGUAAAGGCUUACCAAGGCGAUGAUGCAUAGCCCGAGUUGAGAGACUGAUCGGCCACAUUGGGACUGAGACACGGCCCAAAAACUCCUACGGGAGGCAGCAGUAGGGAAUCUUCCACAAUGGACGCAAGUCUGAUGGAGCAACGCCGCGUGAGUGAAGUAAGGUUUUCGGAUACGUAAAGCUCUGUUGUUGGUGAAGAAGGAUAGAGGUAGUAACUGGCCUUUAUUUGACGGUAAUCAACCAGAAAGUCACGGCUAACUACGUGCCCAGCAGCCGCGGGUAAU
RNAcentral lists this ribosomal RNA (337 nucleotides) under uncultured Lactobacillus sp. RNAcentral describes it as "bacterial SSU rRNA". It matches the Rfam family "Bacterial small subunit ribosomal RNA", at positions 201 to 524 of the family's 1533-position model. The record is from RNAcentral. Lineage: Bacteria; Bacillati; Bacillota; Bacilli; Lactobacillales; Lactobacillaceae.